RNAcentral lists this ribosomal RNA (433 nucleotides) under uncultured bacterium. RNAcentral's name for it is "partial 16S ribosomal RNA". It matches the Rfam family "Bacterial small subunit ribosomal RNA", at positions 29 to 507 of the family's 1533-position model. The record is from RNAcentral.
AACGAACGCUGGCGGCAUGCCUAACACAUGCAAGUCGAACGAGACCUUCGGGUCUAGUGGCGCACGGGUGCGUAACGCGGGGGAACCUGCCCUUAGGUUCGGUAUAACUCCCCGAAAGGGGUGCUAAUACCGGAUAAUGUCUUCGGACCAAAGAUUUAUCGCCUUUGGAUGGGCCCGCGUUGGAUUAGCUAGUUGGUAGGGUAAAAGCCUACCAAGGGGACGAUCCAUAGCUGGUCUGAGAGGAUGAUCAGCCACACUGGGACUGAGACACGGCCCAGACUCCUACGGGAGGGAGCAGUGGGGAAUAUUGGACAAUGGGCGAAAGCCUGAUCCAGCAAUGCGGCGUGAGUGAUGAAGGCCUUAGUGUUGUAAAGCUCUUUUACCCGGGAUGAUAAUGACAGUACCGGGAGAAUAAGCUCCGGCUAACUCCGUG